Molecule: ribosomal RNA, 282 nt
Filed under: uncultured bacterium
Lineage: Bacteria
Description: partial 16S ribosomal RNA
Rfam family: Bacterial small subunit ribosomal RNA
Source: RNAcentral
CUUCGGCGGUUUGGGAAGAGCCCGCGCAAGAUUAGCUAGUUGGUGAGGUAAAAGGGCUCACCAAGGCGACGAUCUUUAGCUGGUUUGAGAGGAUGAUCAGCCACACUGGAACUGAGACACGGUCCAGACUCCUACGGGAGGCAGCAGUUAGGAAUUUUCCACAAUGGGCGCAAGCCUGAUGGAGCAACGCCGCGUGCAGGAUGAAGGUUUUCGGAUUGUAAACUGCUUUUAUAAGUGAAGAAUAUGACGGUAACUUAUGAAUAAGGAUCGGCUAACUCCGUG